GCACUGCUGAGGAGUCUCUUAAUAGGACGAAACGGCCGUCCAGUGC
Schistosoma rodhaini is the source of this 46-nucleotide non-coding RNA. NCBI's taxonomy places the organism in Eukaryota, Metazoa, Platyhelminthes, Trematoda, Strigeidida, Schistosomatidae. The record is from Rfam.